GGGAAUGUGGCUCAGUGGUAGAGUGCUUGCCUAGCAGGCAUGAAGCCUUGGGUUCAAGUCCUUAGUACCA
Molecule: non-coding RNA, 70 nt
Organism: Dipodomys ordii (Ord's kangaroo rat)
Lineage: Eukaryota; Metazoa; Chordata; Mammalia; Rodentia; Heteromyidae
Source: Rfam